This 1513-nucleotide ribosomal RNA is filed under the name uncultured Paraliobacillus sp. Its description in RNAcentral is "partial 16S ribosomal RNA". It matches the Rfam family "Bacterial small subunit ribosomal RNA". Lineage: Bacteria; Bacillati; Bacillota; Bacilli; Caryophanales; Bacillaceae. The record is from RNAcentral.
AGAGUUUGAUCCUGGCUCAGGAUGAACGCUAGCGGCAGGCCUGACACAUGCAAGUCGAACGGUAAUCUCGCAGACCUUCGGGUCAGCGGGAACGAGUGGCGAAUGGGUGAGUAACGCAUAUAUAAUUUUCCUGUCACAAGGGGAUAGCCCGAAGAAAUUUGGAUUAACCCCCUAUAAUACAUCGAUCCGGCCUCGGGUUGAUGUUAAAACUUUGGUGGUGACAGAUAAGUAUGCGUCCUAUUAGUUAGUUGGUAAGGUAAGGGCUUACCAAGGCAUCGAUAGGUAGGGGUCCUGAGAGGGAGAUCCCCCACACUGGUACUGAGACACGGACCAGACUCCUACGGGAGGCAGCAGUGAGGAAUAUUGGACAAUGGGCGAGAGCCUGAUCCAGCCAUGCCGCGUGAACGAUGAAGGUUUUCGGAUCGUAAAGUUCUGUUGUUAGGGAAGAACACGUACCGUUCGAAUAGGGCGGUACCUUGACGGUACCUAACGAGGAAGCCCCGGCUAACUACGUGCCAGCAGCCGCGGUAAUACGUAGGGGGCAAGCGUUGUCCGGAAUUAUUGGGCGUAAAGCGCGCGCAGGCGGUUUUUUAAGUCUGAUGUGAAAUCUUGUGGCUCAACCACAAGCGGUCAUUGGAAACUGGAGAGCUUGAGUGCAGAAGAGGAGAGUGGAAUUCCACGUGUAGCGGUGAAAUGCGUAGAUAUGUGGAGGAACACCAGUGGCGAAGGCGACUCUCUGGUCUGUAACUGACGCUGAGGCGCGAAAGCGUGGGGAGCGAACAGGAUUAGAUACCCUGGUAGUCCACGCUGUAAACGAUGAGUGCUAGGUGUUAGGGGGUUUCCGCCCCUUAGUGCUGCAGUUAACGCAUUAAGCACUCCGCCUGGGGAGUACGGCCGCAAGGCUGAAACUCAAAAGAAUUGACGGGGACCCGCACAAGCGGUGGAGCAUGUGGUUUAAUUCGAAGCAACGCGAAGAACCUUACCAGGUCUUGACAUCCGCUGAUACCCCUAGAGAUAGGGCAUCCCCUUCGGGGGCAGCGUGACAGGUGGUGCAUGGUUGUCGUCAGCUCGUGUCGUGAGAUGUUGGGUUAAGUCCCGCAACGAGCGCAACCCUUAAUCUUAGUUGCCAGCAUUUAGUUGGGCACUCUAAGAUGACUGCCGGUGACAAACCGGAGGAAGGUGGGGAUGACGUCAAAUCAUCAUGCCCCUUAUGACCUGGGCUACACACGUGCUACAAUGGAUGGUACAAAGGGCAGCGAAGCCGCGAGGUGAAGCAAAUCCCAUAAAACCAUUCUCAGUUCGGAUUGUAGGCUGCAACUCGCCUACAUGAAGCCGGAAUCGCUAGUAAUCGCGGAUCAGCAUGCCGCGGUGAAUACGUUCCCGGGUCUUAUACACACCGCCCGUCACACCACGAGAGUUAGCAACACCCGAAGUCGGUGAGGUAACCAUGUAUAUGGAGCCAGCCGCCGAAGGUGGGGCCAAUGAUUGGGGUGAAGUCGUAACAAGGUAACCA